Molecule: long non-coding RNA, 3806 nt
Organism: Olea europaea var. sylvestris
Lineage: Eukaryota; Viridiplantae; Streptophyta; Magnoliopsida; Lamiales; Oleaceae
Exons: 3
Source: RefSeq, a predicted model, not a curated record
GGUGCCAUUUCUCUCUCUGCCGGCAGUCCUGCAACUCGUUUCUCUACUCUACGGUCAUCUUCCGUCAAAUGUUUUAUAUUUUUGCCGUUUACUCAAGAAAAUUUGCAUGAAUAACGAGAUGCCUGAAUUUAUUCUGAAGAACUGAAAAAGAUUGAUAAGUGCACAUUACGAUGGCAGAGUCUCAGAAGAUAGCAUCAUCCUAAAAAUUGAAGGAAAAAAAAAUUCAUCGUUCAACGAUUUGGGGCGGGAUGAGUGAAAUGUUGGAGGACUUGAAAAUGGAGGUGAUUGGGCCAUUUUACCAUCUCUAUCUGCCACGAAACCUUGGUGUGUGACCAAUAUCAGGGAUCUUGUUGCAUGGCCCAGUGUGGGAAAACCAAAACCAAAUGCCAUUGCCAAUGAGGCCAAUGUUCCCUUUUAUAAGAUCUGUGCUAUUGAAUUGGUGUAUGGAGUUUCAGGUGUAAUUGUUUUUUGUUGCUCUUUGUUUUUUUGAUGACGAAUUUUUAAUCAUAAAUCUUUUAGAUAUCUAAUUGUGUUUUCACUUAUAGUGAUGACAGGGUAAAUAGACCUAUGCGUGUCAUUUCUUUAUUUUAUUUUAUUUUUAUUUUCUAUUUUUUAUCUUGUCCACCUAUUUGCUGCUAGUUGCUGCUAGUUUAACAAUUGGACUAAUUUCCCUUUUUUGUCUAUUAUGUGUGGGGUUUCAAUCAUGAACUUGGUUUUGUUCCUGCCCUUAUUUACAUAUUUUUCAAGCUUGCUAAGAUGUUUUAUUUGUUGAAUGUUUCAGCGACAUCAGAAGAAGAUAUUAGAGAGCUAUUUUCUAUAGCUCACAAGGACAGCCCCAUCCAUUGUAUUCAUAGAUGAAAUAGAUGCGAUUGCAACUAAAUGGUAAAUUUCCAGUAACGUAAUGGAGCAACAAAUUGUCACAAUACUAAUGUCGUGCAUGGAUAAGUCAUCGAGAAUUGUCAAACCUAUAAAUGAAAGUGGAACUUUAGAGAAUUCUGAUUGCAUAUCUGUGUAUGUACUCGUUAUUGGAGCAACAAAUAGGCCUGAUUCUAUUAAUCCUGCAUUGAUGAGGCUUGGAUGAUUUGACCAUGAGAUUUAGCUUUUGAUCUUAUGAAUAUAGCUUAGUCCACUGCAGAGAUUGUUGGAGCUGACUUGGCAGCACUUAUGGACAAAGCUGGCAAUCUAGCAAAUGAAUUGGAUAAUAGGCCAACGAAAGUAUCAGGUUUCUACAGAACCUGUAUAAGGGGAGUUUGUUGAAGAAUGGUGGAGACAACCUUGAUCGUGUGAAGAAAUAGAAGGCUCGGCAUGACAAUGGCUGAUUUUGAGGACAAGGAUUCGGGGAAGAUGAUUGGACAUGCUAGAGAAUGGGAUGGGCUUUCCUAACUCGAAUCACCGAGGCAAUCAAGUAUCAUCAAGGGCAAAUUACCUCAUUCUUUUGUUUGAGUUUUUUCAUCCAAUAUAGAGAGUGGCUUCACCAUUGUUGACUUGGACAUGUGUCAUUUAGGGUUAUUAAACAUAAUUCUCAUGUUACUUGGAUUUUUUGGCUCAAACAUAAAUCUGAUGUUAGUACUGUUCAUCCAAAUUUUUGUUCCAUGAUUAAGAAUCAAUUUAAGGUCAAUAUCAAAAGGUUUGGGUUGGUUCAAUCAAGUCCUAUCUCCGUACUUUAAGAAGAAUUAAGGGAUAGUACACGAGUCAUCUUAUGUUAGUACUCUACAGCAAAAUAGAGUAGCAAAAAUGUAAAAUAGACACCUUAAAUCAACCUGAGCCUUCAUGUUCCAGAGAGAUGUACCUAAAUCCUUUUGGGGAGAAGCAGUUCUUACAGCCACACAUUUAAUAAAUCGUUUACCUUCCAGAAUCUUGGGAUUCAAGAGGCAAAUGGAAAUACUAUCGACAUUCUAUCCUAACCUCACUACAAAUAAUCUUGUCCCUAGGAUAUUUGGGUGUAUAUCAUUUGUCCAUGACCAUAGUCAAAAUAGGGGAAACUUGGAUCCUAGGGUGUUAAGAUGUGUCUUUGUGGUUAUUUGUCAAUUCAGAAAGGGUGUAAGUGUUACCACCCUCCAUUAAAGAAAUUCUAUGUCUCGGUGGUGUUACUUUCAAUGAAUUAGAGUCGUAUUUCACAGCUCCUUAUCUUCAGGGGGAGAAUUCCAGAUCAGUUCCUCAUUCCACUAUGUUGAAUUCCGUGUCUCCUUGUUUGAACCUGUGCUCGAAAAUCCUCAAGAAAAGAUGGACUCUACUUUUGAAAAUGUAAAUAUUUGGUAAGGGCAAGGUGUUUUCAAGGAAGAUGGUUGUCCUUGAAUCUGUGCAAGUACAAGACUCGAACCCAGAUCUUGAGAAUGCGGCAACAAUUUCUAACCCUUCAUUGCAAGCUAAAACUGAAUCUAAUGUGAGCAGUAAUGACAGGACCUUCCCAUUGCUCACAAACCGACAUUUAUAUCCUCUUGCACAUUUCUUGUCUUUUAAACAUUCUUUACCAUCUCAUAGAGCCUUCCUUGUUAGCUUAAACACCAUUGUCAUUCCUACCACCUUAUCGAAGGCUUUGUCCAAUGAGAAAUAGAAACAAGCUAUGAAUGUAGAGAUAGAGGUCCUUAAAAAAACUUGGGAAUUGGUAAAGUUGCCAACAAGAAAGAGAUUAGUGGGAUAUAAAAUGGGUUUAUGUAGUGAAGUAUAGGGCAGAUGGAUCGAUAGAAAGAUACGAGGCAAAGUUGGUGGCUAAAGGUUAUACUUGAUCAUAUGGAAUCGAUUACCUAGAGACUUUUGCUCCAAUUGCAAAGAUAACUGCUGUUAGAAUCUUGUUGUCAUUAACAACUAAUUAUGGUUGGGAAUUGCAGCAUUUUGAUCUUAAGAUUGCAUUGUUUGCAUGGAGAACUAAAGGAAGAAAUUUAUAUAGAGGUCGUAUUAGGUUAUGGGAAUAAUUUGGCUGGUUAUAUUGUGUGUAAGUUGAAGAAAGCCUCUAUGGACUUGAGCAAUCACCAGAGAUAUAUAUAGACAAAGCUAAAGGGAUCAUAUGCUGUACAUUAAACACUCACCUUCAAGGGAGUCACAGUUUUCUUAGAAUAUGUUGAUGACACAAUAGUGAUCGGGAUUGAUGAUAAGGAGAAGAUAUCUUGCAAACCAGCAAGUACUCCAUUAGAUUCGAAUGUUAGACUUGGAAAGGUAGAGGAAGAUGCUGCAGUAGACAUGGAAAUGUACCAGUGCUUGUAGGAACCUAUGUAUCCGUCACACACAUCCGGAUAUAGCGUAUGCAGUGUUAGCCAGUUCUUGCAUAUCCCCAAGGAACUCUUGGUAGGAAGACCUAUUUCAUUUUUUUUUCUUUCACUCCUUUCACCAGUAGGUACCGACGAGGAGGCGAAUCCAGUGCCACUGAUCAGCCGUUGUGAGUGGCGAGUGUAUUGCCUUAGGCGUUGUUGCGAAACGGAGCUUGAGUUCGUUGCAUACAAUGACGAUCAGAUCCCGUCGUGUACGACAUUCAGAUCUCGUCCCGAGCAGCAACGAACUCAGAGUGUUGCGCACAGUGGUGUACACUCUGGUUGUCACGAUGGGUUUGUGAUGGUUUUGUGGUUGAUUUGUAGGAGUUUGGUUAUGUUGCGAUCUAGCAAUGAUGAUAGUGUAGGAGUUUGGUGUGUGGUUACUAUGGUGGUGGUAGGUUUGCAUUGAUGUGAUGUAGUGGUUGUUGUGGUGGUGAUUUUGCACAGUCUGGUGAGGCGACGGUGGUCAUGGGUAGAUGGGACGGGAUAUGAGCUAUUUGUGACCAAUUAUUUGGUUGAUUGUGACCAAUAAAUUGGGUAAUUUGUGACCUAAAAAAUGUA